CUAAAGAGACUGCUAUUUUGUCAUACAGAAUUCCUACAAUCUGACUUCUGCUGAUUGCCAUCUCCAUAGUGAGAUAUAGAAGAAAGACACUGCUGAAAUGCAUCACUGAAGCCUAACCUGGAACUUGUAAGAAUGAGUGCUACCCAGGCAACAAAGAAGAAAGUAAAUGCAAAGACAGUCUUGAAAAAGUGAAACGAUGUGUCCUCUCUCACUCACCUGAUGCCUAUUCUGAGGUUGACUCAUCUCAGAUUGUUCACUGAGGUCUUCAUCAUGAAAAAGGAUAUAACCAGGAAGAGGGCUGUCACCAGGAACCAAAUUGACUGGCACCUUGAUCUUGGACUACCCAACCUCCAGAACUGUGAUAAAUAGAUUUCUGUUGUUUAAGGCAUCCAGACUACAGUAUCUUGUUUCAACAGCCUGCACUAAGAGUGAGGAUAUUGAGCCUUAAAGAAGUUAAAAAGAAUCUUCUCAUAAUUACCCAGGUACUUCCUGAUAGAGUUGAGAUUUUCACCCAGGCAAUCUUAAGCCAGAGUGUCUUUAUAACAAUUCUAAUAUGCCAACUGUGUUGUCUAGUGGGGGAAAAGUCUGUUACAAUUGUGUAUUUUCAUAGACUUGAGGUAAGUACUUCUGCUCAUUGAUUUACCUCCAGACCCUAAGUAUAGUAUUUGGCAUAUAAGAAGUAUUUGUUGAAUGAAUGAGUUAGUAAAUGAAUAAAAGAAUGAAUGGAUGAUGUAUGAAGCCUACUGCAAUCUAUCUCAGCAAACUUUAAACUUCAACUAUAUCAUAAAUUCCUGAAGAGAGUCAUAUCUUGUGAGUUCUCUGUGCCUUUUCCAAAGGGAAGCACCUGUUAAAUACAUAAGGAACUUUAAAAAUAACAACUACAGGCA
Long non-coding RNA from Felis catus (domestic cat), 887 nucleotides. RefSeq lists it as uncharacterized. Lineage: Eukaryota; Metazoa; Chordata; Mammalia; Carnivora; Felidae. The transcript has 4 exons. The record is from RefSeq and is a predicted model, not a curated record.